UUCUCUAACCUAGGUAUAAAUAUGUUUGUUCCUCUGAAUCACAAAAGCAACCUUUAGGUACUACCGUUCAAUAUAUGGUGAUUUUGUACAAGUUAUUAAACUAUUGAAUUCAACACAUUCAUGUCAUCUCAAUAUCGUAUCAAGACCACCGAUAAUGGUCAACUUGCUCAACUUCCAUGGGAUGUGCUUGAUAUCAUUUGCAAAGCACUGGAUUUCAACGACCUCUUUUCGUUUUCGGGUGUAUCAUUUGCAAAGCAUUGUAUCAAUUUUCAAAGUUACUAAAACAUUAGAUAUUUAAAGCCACACUUACCGCUAGAUCUGAAAGAAGGAAAUGAACAUGAACAUUAACAUCUUCACACCAAAAAAAUUGAAUCUGA
Long non-coding RNA from Vicia villosa (hairy vetch), 377 nucleotides. RefSeq lists it as uncharacterized. The record is from RefSeq and is a predicted model, not a curated record. Lineage: Eukaryota; Viridiplantae; Streptophyta; Magnoliopsida; Fabales; Fabaceae. The transcript is spliced from 2 exons.